Molecule: ribosomal RNA, 426 nt
Filed under: uncultured bacterium
Lineage: Bacteria
Description: partial 16S ribosomal RNA
Rfam family: Bacterial small subunit ribosomal RNA
Source: RNAcentral
GUGAGGAAUUUUCCGCAAUGGGCGAAAGCCUGACGGAGCAAUGCCGCGUGAAGGAUGAAGGCCUAUGGGUUGUAAACUUCUUUUCUCAGAAAAGAAUUAUGACGGUAUCUGAGGAAUAAGCAUCGGCUAACUCUGUGCCAGCAGCCGCGGUAAGACAGAGGAUGCAAGCGUUAUCCGGAAUGAUUGGGCGUAAAGCGUCUGUAGGUUGUUUAAAAAGUAUUCUUUCAAAGAUUAGGGCUUAACCCUAGAUAGGCAGAAUAAACUUUUAAGCUAGAGUUUGGUAGAGGCAGAGGGAAUUCCCGGUGGAGCGGUGAAAUGCGUAGAUAUCGGGAGGAACACCAAAGGCGAAGGCACUCUGCUGGGCCAAUACUAACACUGAGAGACGAAAGCGAGGGGAGCAAAUGGGAUUAGAUACCCGGGUAGUCC